UUAAGAGGAGAAUAAUAGCAAUUGAAAGAGGAUUAGGUUUAGAAGUGGGACCAUUGGGAUGAUUCACAUGUCUUUUGAAGGCUUCUCCACUCUCUUUUUCAAUUGUGAACGGCGGCCCUCUCUCCAAGGUUCUUCUCCUAUCAAACUCGUUAACGCCGCCGCGAGAGAUUUCUCCUCCGCCUCACAUCUCAUCUUAAUCUCUCAUUCUCUCCGACUUCGCUUCAAACAAUAGGAUCCAAGAAAACAGCGGCAAUUUUGCAAUCGUGAACACGUUGUAGUGUUGUUGCUCCACGGCUUCGAAGUAAUCUGAGAAAAUUAGGAACAAAUACGACUCCGCUGCAAUGUUUUAAGUGUUGUUGAAAUUGUUGAUGGAGAAUCGAUGCUGAAGUUGUUGAAGCUUGCGGUGACGCGAUUAUGGUGCGAUGGUGAAUUGAAGAUCCGGUGAAGAUUGGAGAUGAUAUUGAUUUCUGCAGAGUUUGUGAAUUGAAGUUUGACGAUUGACGAAGAUAACGAGUGGUGCAAAGAUGAUUCGGAGAUGAUGAUGAACGUAGUGCUGUUGCAAAGUUCUCUAAGACGCAGAAUCGCAAAAUCAUGUGAUGUCGGAGUGAUGAAUAAAAACGAUGAAGGCGAAGGUGAUGUUUAUCUUGAAUAAAUGAAGAAACAAAUGAAGGAUUCUGAGUUUGCUUCUUGUGAUUUUCUUGCAGAAUCGGGAAGUUGUUUGUGAAGAUUGUAAAGAGUUAGCCGAAGAACUUUUUCUGUGUGAGUUUCUUGGAGAAUGAAGGUGAAGAUUGGAAGAGCGAUUCUGUUAUCAUUGAAGAAUUGGAGAUUGAAUCGAGAGAAUCCUCUUAGCAAUCCUGUUACAGGUUUUUGAGAGAUUGAAGAGGAAUUUUCGGUUGAAUGAAUCGAGAGAAUCCAGAAGUUUGUUACAGGUAAUCUUGAAGAGGAAGAUGAACAAAGAUUGAAGAGUUUUUGGUUUUGUCCAGAGGAGAAUUGAAGAAAACUGAAGAGAUUUUCGGAGGUUGAAGAAGACGGAUCGAGAAAGAGAGAGCCUCUUCCAAGUUUGUUACGAUUCAGUUAUCAGUUUGUUACUUGUUUUUGCCUUUUGCUUUUCAGUUUCUUUUUCUUUUUUCCGAUUCCGUUCUCUCCCUCCCCUGAAUUCUGUUAUGUCCAUUUCUAUUCUUGCCCUCUGCUGAGCUUUGUAUCGGUUUGUUAUGCAGGAUGGUUCGAUUUAUUCUUGGCUUUUCUUUGCAGGCAGCACAAGGACCGAUUUAUGAGGCUGGUGCGGUUAGACAUAUUGCACCGCUUUAGAGUGCUUGAAACCACUUGGUCCUCUCUGUGCAUCUAAAUUCCCAUUCAACCCUGUAAUUGUGCUUUUGUAAUAUAAUAGGAACUUAAAUGAAAUUAUGGAUAUUGGGAUUUGUAAUGAAUGAUGAACAUGAAUUUUGUAAUGAAA
Molecule: long non-coding RNA, 1453 nt
Organism: Vicia villosa (hairy vetch)
Lineage: Eukaryota; Viridiplantae; Streptophyta; Magnoliopsida; Fabales; Fabaceae
Exons: 3
Source: RefSeq, a predicted model, not a curated record